CUUAACACCUCCACUAACUGUCUGACUAAUGGAGUGACUCAAUUAUAUGUUUUACAAAAGGUCGGGUACGUCAAUGAAAAAUUUAAAAGGUCUAGUACUAAUUUGAAACGAACCCUAACGAUUGGGUACUUUUAUAUAGUUAAUCCAAUAAACUAACAUGGGAAAAAAUUUAUGCAAUUAAAUACAAUUUGGAUAAAUAAACAUGGCUCCACUAUUGGCCAUAUUAUAGCUGCCCCAAUCUAAAAUAAACUAGAAUGAGGAUACAAACAUUUUGCUCUCUUUCAUAUUUCCUCGCUAAAUAAUCUACUAACAAGAAUUUUUAGAUAAAUAAAAGAAUUUCUAGUCCCUAUUAGCGAU
RNAcentral lists this long non-coding RNA (357 nucleotides) under Prunus persica (peach). RNAcentral's name for it is "long non-coding RNA (PPER_LNC004299)". The record is from RNAcentral. Lineage: Eukaryota; Viridiplantae; Streptophyta; Magnoliopsida; Rosales; Rosaceae.